This 482-nucleotide ribosomal RNA is filed under the name uncultured bacterium. RNAcentral describes it as "partial 16S ribosomal RNA". It matches the Rfam family "Bacterial small subunit ribosomal RNA", at positions 30 to 505 of the family's 1533-position model. The record is from RNAcentral.
AUUGAACGCUGGCGGCAGGCCUAACACAUGCAAGUCGAGCGGAUGAAGGGAGCUUGCUCCUGGAUUCAGCGGCGGACGGGUGAGUAAUGCCUAGGAAUCUGCCUGGUAGUGGGGGAUAACGUCCGGAAACGGGCGCUAAUACCGCAUACGUCCUGAGGGAGAAAGUGGGGGAUCUUCGGACCUCACGCUAUCAGAUGAGCCUAGGUCGGAUUAGCUAGUUGGUGGGGUAAAGGCCUACCAAGGCGACGAUCCGUAACUGGUCUGAGAGGAUGAUCAGUCACACUGGAACUGAGACACGGUACAGACUCCUACGGGAGGCAGCAGUGGGGAAUAUUGGACAAUGGGCGAAAGCCUGAUCCAGCCAUGCCGCGUGUGUGAAGAAGGUCUUCGGAUUGUAAAGCACUUUAAGUUGGGAGGAAGGGCAGUAAGUUAAUACCUUGCUGUUUUGACGUUACCAACAGAAUAAGCACCGGCUAACUUCG